Molecule: long non-coding RNA, 374 nt
Filed under: Salmo salar (Atlantic salmon)
Lineage: Eukaryota; Metazoa; Chordata; Actinopteri; Salmoniformes; Salmonidae
Description: lncRNA (ENSSSAG00000121669.1)
Source: RNAcentral
ACCGGUACAGAGUCAAUGUGGAGGCUAUAUGCAGGGUAUUACGGUACAGAGUCAAUGUGGAGGCUAUAUACAGAGGGUACCGGUACAGAGUCAAUGUGGAGGCUAUAUACAGGGUGUUACGGUACAGAGUCAAUGUGGAGGCUAUAUACAGGGGGUACCGGUACAGAGUCAAUGUGGAGGCUAUAUACAGGGGGUACCGGUACAGAGUCAAUGUGGAGGCUAUAUACAGGAGGUACCGGUACAGAGUCAAUGUGGAGGCUAUAUACAGGGGGUACCGGUACAGAGUCAAUGUGGAGGCUAUAUACAGGGGGUACCGGUACAGAGUCAAUGUGGAGGCUAUAUACAGGGGGUACCGGUACAGAGUCAAUGUGGAG